GAUGAACGCUGGCGGCGUGCCUAAUACAUGCAAGUCGAGCGAACGGACGAGAAGCUUGCUUCUCUGAUGUUAGCGGCGGACGGGUGAGUAACACGUGGAUAACCUACCUAUAAGACUGGGAUAACUUCGGGAAACCGGAGCUAAUACCGGAUAAUAUUUUGAACCGCAUGGUUCAAAAGUGAAGGACGGUCUUGCUGUCACUUAUAGAUGGAUCCGCGCUGCAUUAGCUAGUUGGUAAGGUAACGGCUUACCAAGGCAACGAUGCAUAGCCGACCUGAGAGGGUGAUCGGCCACACUGGAACUGAGACACGGUCCAGACUCCUACGGGAGGCAGCAGUAGGGAAUCUUCCGCAAUGGGCGAAAGCCUGACGGAGCAACGCCGCGUGAGUGAUGAAGGUCUUCGGAUCGUAAAACUCUGUUAUUAGGGAAGAACAUAUGUGUAAGUAACUGUGCACAUCUUGACGGUACCUAAUCAGAAAGCCACGGCUAACUACG
RNAcentral lists this ribosomal RNA (495 nucleotides) under uncultured bacterium. RNAcentral's name for it is "partial 16S ribosomal RNA". It matches the Rfam family "Bacterial small subunit ribosomal RNA", at positions 28 to 505 of the family's 1533-position model. The record is from RNAcentral.